CACAAUUCUUCUUUGGGCGGCAAUACAUCGAAACCCUAGAUCAAAACACGCGUAGAUACUCCAUUUCUUCUCCUACAAUCUUCUUUCUUUUUUUUCCUUGAUAUUUUUCUUUUACUCUUCACCUCUUUCUUUGUUUCUCUCUGCAACUCUUCACCUCUUUCUUCCCUUUUUUUCCUUUCAUCAUUCAAUCAGAUUUAGAAACCCUAACAAUCAUCUUAUUCGCGAUUCAUCUUAUUCUCCGAUUCAUCUUAUCCUCCAAUCCAUCACCAUCUUCAAUUGAAUACCGGAAAUCAAAAUCGAUGAAGGAAUACGUGGGGCUGUGGUGGUGCAGAUCUGGUUGGAAAAACAUUUUCAGAUAUCGGAAUCAUGUUGGUGGUGGUUACAGGUGUUUUCUAUCGAUCUUUCUAUCUAUGAUUAUUCAACCCUAAAUCAUGGAAGCGAUUAUUCAACCCUAAAUCAUAACCAGAUGAUCUGGAUCAGGUAUGUAAGCGACUCUCCCAAUUGUGAAGAGUUUUUGUAUAAUGAUUAUUCAACCCUAAAUCAUAAUCAGUGACGAAUAGUCUUCUCUGCCAAUUUGAAGGGUAUCGUACAGAGAAAAUGUGAUGGAGCAUGACCGUAGCUUGCGGGGCUUAAUUACCAUGAGCUGUGAAUACGAAAUUACAGUAGAUUUGGUUAAUGGAACAACCCUCAAGAUAUUUCCUAUGAUCCGUUCAGAAGGGGCAACAAUAUAUGGGUUCAGGUUAAAAGUGUGCUUGCUCCUUGUGAGUAUGUUAAUGUGAGUUUGGGAGGUGACUCAAUGCAGCAAGAUCAUGAUACUGAAGCUGAUAGUGAGGCUGGCUGGAGCUAAAGAUUUACUAAUUUUGGUUAUCAAAACAACAACUGAACAAGAGGUUAAGUGGUAGAUGGGUGUUCGUGUUAAAUGGUCUAAGUCACACAAUAGGGAUCUGCAUGAAGUUGGACAGAGAAGAUAUAGUUUUGUGGCAUCUGAAUGUUCCUCUAUAUAGAAGAAAAGAUUUGGGAAAUGCUUAAGAGGGAACACUCACCAAAAGGUAUGUUAUUUAAAGAAUUUAAUAGGAUUACUUAUUUUUCUCUUUGUACACAUCUUUCUAGAAAAUGUUGGAUUUAUUAUUUCAUGGAAAUUGUGGUUUGGUUUAGUUCAUGUUUGUUUUCUUGUGAUUUUAUUUUCCAAACUUCAAAACUUGAAUAAGUAUUCUAAAAGGGUGCAUUCACCCAAACUUAAGGUUUUGGUAUAGUAAUGACCUAAGAACAUAUCUACUUUGCUUCGUAUUGUUAUGAAUCACAGUUUUUUAGUAGGUUAAUUUUUAUGUAAACAGUGCAAGUCUUGGUGAAGAUGUACUUAUAGUUGUGGAUCAUGUUUUAAGUUGUUUUUAUGGAUCAUAUUUUAAGUUCUUUUUGUUCUUGACAUAUGCAACUUGAUAGGUUUAAGUGCAAGUGAUGCUUAAGAAGAAAAAUUAGGUCGUUUAUAUCUGUAUAAUGCCAUUAAUUUCUGUUAAUAGAUGUAUAUUGGUUGUAGAUUGGAGGCUGCUGGCAUCUUCAGGUUAUCCUCUUUUGUUUUCACUUUAAACUUCAGCCAUCUUCAAUUUAUAUUCUUUUUUUUCCAGCCAUCAAAGUAACUCAAUGCAUUAACCCGAGAUAACAAAACGACUCUUGACCUAUCUGAAUUGCUUCACUUAUCUACUCUUCAGCUAUAAAAAUGGAGGUAUUUUGUUAACUAAAGUUUUUUAAUUAUAUUUUACCAUUUGAAUUUUAAAAAAUUACCCAUUCUCAUUUAGAGUGUAAAAUGAGUAUGACGUGGCCAUUUUUCUAUAAACAUUAACAGUUGACCAAGGAUCUUGCCAUUCCAAUUCCACGGACCCAAUUAAGUACUGCUAACACCAUCUUAAUAAAUUCAGUAUGGCCUUAAAUACAAUCCUUAGUUUUAAGAGUAUUGAUUUAUAUAUAGUGUUCAACAGCAACCUGAUCAAGAGAGCUUUUCGAGAUGCAACAAUAGAGAAAAAAGUAGAGAAACUUAAAAUUAGUAUGAUUGAGGAAGACCUAGAUGAGCUGGCCCAGAAAGUUAGAGCUUUCAACUUAUUAAUAAAAACCCUUAAAGCCAUAGAAAAUUAUUUAAGGUUAUUCACUUACUCACAUAGGUUACCCUGCUAAAAUAUGAUGUCAUAAUAGUAACUUUAACCCCAAUUGAGUUUUUUUUGAAGUGGCACCUUGAAACUGGUUUACCAUCAUUAAGUAAAUCGAAGUUUUUUGAACUUGGGGUUUUUUCCUAGAAAGAGUGGGGUACGUAAAAAUAGAAUUAUAUCUAAGUUGGAAACCUUUUUACGCAAUUUGGCCUUCCAAGAGCACUAUGUGUAUGACGAUGACAAUUUUUUUUUUUUACUGAUUUUGGUUGGAGAUAUGAAUGGAGUAAAAGUCUUGCGGCAUGAUCUGUUCACAAAUGAUGCUCUACUUUAGCUUUAGUCAACAAUUUAAAAUGGUAAUUUUUUUAGUAAUAGUGAUAUUAUCCUUGCUUGCAGAUGUGUUUUGUGUUGGCAUCACAUAAUAAACAUGGCUUAAAAAGGUACAAUAGAAGGACAAUCUCAUGCAUGUGGGACGCCUUGUGAUAAGUAUAACAUUGUAGGGUUUGUAAGAAAAUUUUCAAAGGUUAAUAUACGCAAUGAUAUUGGUAAUUUCUAUUGUUAUUUUUAGUUUAUAAAGCUGUAAUACAAACUUUUUGUAUACAAUGUGCUUGGCGAUAGCUAAAGACGGAAGAGAAUAAUAUUAAAGGGAAAGUCAACCACAUGAAGAAAGGAAAGAUAUAAGCUUUGUUCGAGAAUUUAGUGAAAAUGGUAUAGAUGAAGAUGUUUACAGUUUAAAAUUUGGUUUUUUAGCAAAUAAUGAAUAGAUAUGUAAGUGUAAUCCUUUUAGCUAUUUAAUAUCUCUUACUACUGUUGCAUGAUCUCAUAUUUUUUUACUCAAUAGUUUAUAAUUGUAACUUAGUUUCAAUUUUCUAACAUUUUCAUGUACUCUCUAAUAUUUUCGUUAAUAUUUCAAUGUAUAUAAAUUAUAAUUUUUUACUUCACAAUUUUAAAGGAUUUAGUUUAAUGCUGCUUUUUGACUAACCAUUCUAUAACAGUAAAAGGGAUUUAUAGCAAAUCAAGUGUUGGAGGGUAGCCAACCAGUUGAUAUCUCUAAGAACCCGUUUGAGUUGUUCUUACACUUAAAGGAUGAAUGCGAUAGUGGAGUUAAAGAAUACAUCAUGAAGGUUUAGUUGACAAAAACUUAAUUUGUAACGGACAUUAUGUAGAUGUACUAUUGUGACGUGUUCAAAUGUCUCAAAAUAUUAGGUUUAACAAAUCAC
Molecule: long non-coding RNA, 3355 nt
Organism: Helianthus annuus (common sunflower)
Lineage: Eukaryota; Viridiplantae; Streptophyta; Magnoliopsida; Asterales; Asteraceae
Exons: 8
Source: RefSeq, a predicted model, not a curated record